RNAcentral lists this small RNA (541 nucleotides) under Pan troglodytes (chimpanzee). Its description in RNAcentral is "retained intron". Lineage: Eukaryota; Metazoa; Chordata; Mammalia; Primates; Hominidae. The record is from RNAcentral.
GUAGAUCGCUUUGAUCCUGGUCGAGAAGUACCUGAAUGCCUAGAAAUAACCCCUACUGCUUCUCUUCCUGGGGACUUUUUGAUUCCAUGCAAAGUUCAUACUCAAGAACUUUGUUCAAGAGAAAUGAUAGUUCACAGUGUAGAUGACUUCAGCUCAGCUUUAAAGGCUCUACAGUGCCAUAUAUGUAGCAAAGAUUCCUUGGACUGUGGUAAGCUGCUUUCCCUAAGAGUUCAUAUCACUUCCAGGGAGAGUUUGGACAGUGUGGAAUUUGACUUGCAUUGGGCAGCAGUAACUCUAGCAAAUAACUUUAAAUGCACACCUGUGAAGCCCAUCCCCAUUAUUCCAACAGCUCUGGCAAGAAACUUGAGCAGUAAUCUGAAUAUUUCUCAAGUUCAAGGGACUUAUAAAUAUGGGUAAGUAAAAGAUACAUUAAUCUAAACAUUAGUUGCAUUAGUAUAUUUUCAGAAUGUCCAUGUAAUGUGAAAGAAUUGUCCAGUCAGUUUAUAUGCCAGAGAUAUGGUGGCUUGGUUAAUAACCAGGG